ACUGCAGUGUUUGAAUGAUGACUUGG
RNAcentral lists this non-coding RNA (26 nucleotides) under Cricetulus griseus (Chinese hamster). The record is from RNAcentral. Lineage: Eukaryota; Metazoa; Chordata; Mammalia; Rodentia; Cricetidae.